Molecule: ribosomal RNA, 170 nt
Filed under: uncultured bacterium
Lineage: Bacteria
Description: partial 16S rRNA
Rfam family: Bacterial small subunit ribosomal RNA
Source: RNAcentral
CCUACGGGGGGCGGCAGUGAGGAAUAUUGGGCAAUGGGCGAAAGCCUGACCCAGCGACGCCGCGUGAAGGAUGAAGGUCUUCGGAUUGUAAACUUCUUUGAUCAGGGAAGAAAGAAAUGACGGUACCUGAAAAACAAGCCACGGCUAACUACGUGCCAGCAGCCCCGGUC